This 332-nucleotide ribosomal RNA is filed under the name uncultured bacterium. RNAcentral describes it as "bacterial SSU rRNA". It matches the Rfam family "Bacterial small subunit ribosomal RNA", at positions 568 to 898 of the family's 1533-position model. The record is from RNAcentral.
CACGCAGGCGGUCGUGUAAGUUUGGGGUUACAGCUCCCGGCUCAACUGGGAGAGCGCCUUGAAGACUGCAGGACUUGAGGGCCAGAGAGGGACACAGAAUUCCGGGUGUAGUGGUGAAAUGCGUAGAUAUCCGGAGGAAUACCAAAGGCGAAGGCAGUGUCCUGGCUGGUGACUGACGCUGAGGUGCGAAAGCUAGGGGAGCGAACGGGAUUAGAUACCCCGGUAGUCCUAGCCGUAAACGAUGACCACUAGGUGUGGGAGGUAUCGACCCCUUCCGUGCCGCAGCUAACGUGAUAAGUGGUCCGCCUGGGGAGUACGGUCGCAAGAUUAAA